UUUCCUCCUCCUCUAACUUUCUACGUUCUUCUGGAUCCAAGUCAAGACCUUCUUCCAGCAACUGUCAAACCCCUCUCAGUACUCUGGCACUCUCCUGCGUCGUUUCUUAAUUGCACAAUGCGCAGGUUAAAACUUAAACCGACUCCCACAAUACAUAUAUUGUGGACCAUGCACCACCUGCUGCUGGAGGUGGAAGUGGUGGAGGGCACCCUGCAGGGCCUGGAGUCUGGACGGAUGUUCCCCCUCAGCCGUGGGAUCCCCAACAUGCUGCUGAGUGAAGACGAAUCUGAGAGUUGAUUGUGCCAGGCGCCAGUUUUUCUUGUUAUGACCGUGUGUAUUUUUAUUGCGUAUCCCCAACCCUUGACCCAGUAACACACCAAACACACAGUGCUCUUGAGCUCCGUAGUAUAUAUUUUUUUCUCAUUAAAGGUUCAAAUCCAAAAACAACAACAACAACAACAACAACAACAACAACAACAAAAACUGUUAGAUGUCCCACAGCGCCCUUACAAUCUAUUCAGUUUUCUUCAAUCUUUUUUUUUCUGUUGCUCAGACUCAAUAAUUUCAAUUGUGUCAUCUUCAAGUUCACUGAUUCUUUCUUCUUCUUGGUCAAACUGCCUUUGAAUUCCUAAUGAAUUAUUCUUCUCUUUUUUUUUUUUUUUUUAAAACAAGGUCUUGCUCUGUCACUCAGGCUAGAGUGCAUUGGUGCAAUCCCAGUUCACUGUAACCUCUGCCUCCUGGGUUCAAGUAAUUCUCCUGCCUCAGCCUCCUGAGUAUCUGGAACUAUAGGCAUGAGCUACCAGGCCUGGCUAAUUUUUUGUAUUUUUAGUAGAGACAGGGUCUCACCAUGUUGCCUAGGCUGGUCUCAAACUCCUGAGCUCAGGUAAUACACCCACCUUGGCCUUCCAAAGUACUGGGGUUGUAGGCUUGAGCCACUGAGCCCAGCCCCUAGUGAAUUUUUCUUUCUUUUUUCUUUUUUCAAAUUAUUUAUUUAUUUAUUUUGAGACAGAGUCUCACUCUGUUGCCCAGGCAGGAGUGCAGUGGUGUGCUCUUGGCUCACUGCAACCUCCCAUUUCAUAUUUCAAAACAAUAAAAUAUCUCCAUGUAAAUCUCUGCAAAAUUCUUAAUAGCUUGACCUUACACCAGUUAAAUAUUUUUAAGUAAAUGACAAGUAAUACAUUAAUGGGGAAAAAAGGAUGUCUAUUUUUGACAACAGCAAGACAUUUUUCUAUUAACAUGUUAUUGUAUUGAGGGGGCAGAAUGUUUUGUUUUCCACAUUGCAAAGAAAAGCCAUCUUAAGAAAGAAACUAUAUCUUUUUGCAAAUGCAUCAAUAUUGUGACUGUGCUCUAUGCCAAAAUUCCUUAACAUUGGCUACAUGUACAGGCUGAAAAGACACAUGUUGAAAAGAGACAUGUCUGGUACCAGGCCCAGAGAUUCUGAUUGGAUGGUCUGGGGUGUGACUGGUCUUUGGGAUUUCUAAAUGUUUCCCGAGUAAUUCUAAUGACCAUAGGAAUCCCUGUUCUUUGCUUUUUUUCUCGGAUGACAAUGAGCAUGCUACUUAAGAUAUGGCUGCUCAGAAUUUUUUACAGUUUUCUUUUAUGACAGAGCUCAUGAUUUCUGCAUGCACAUUUAUCCUUACAUUAUAAUUCCAGGCAUAUUGUCACAUGCCAUAUGUUUUAUGUGAGCAGAGAAGGUAUUUUUUCAUUCUUGCAAGGAAAAUAUUGGAUUACUUUUAAGGAGGUCAUGGUGGUUCAAGAAUCAUUUGGGGAUCACUUGCAGAUGGAAUGACAUAGUGAGUUCAAUGUAAUUUCUGAUGCAUGAGGAUCCAGAAAGCACAGCCCUAACAGUUGCUCAUUUUCCCACUUAAGGCUGCAAUCUUAGCCAAGAAGCAAAUACUAGAUCAAGAUUAAAAGUAACCUAAGCCCUCUUUUAAGAAGUAUUCUCUUUAGUGCAAAAUUGAGGCCAAUAGCAGCAGCACGAAGGCAGUUCUUUUCCGAACACACUAACUUUGAAGCUGAAUAAAAGGCUUCAUUUUCCAGAGCUGUCAGUCUGGUGCCUUUCUCAACAAUUAGAUUUACUAAAGAAUUUUAUAGAGAAAAAAGAGAGAGAGAGAAAUUAAGCAAAAUGUCCAGAUGUCAUCUGUUAAAAAUGCUUUAUUGAGACAAUAAACAAAUAACAUCAACAAGUACUAAAAUUUUAAUUAAAAUAUGAUUUACAAUGUUGCUAUACACCACUAGAAGCAUUCUUAUUGAUGGGAAAUAAGAUUGCUUUGCUUGUAUCCUUAGGACACUCAAACACCCCAUUUGACUUUGUGGGUCUCCUAUCCAAGUCUUAUAAUAUCUUUUCCAUGCCCAUGAGCAUGAACAUUUUCUUCAGCAGUUUAAAACACAAUGGCAGUAUCAAUCGUUCCCUUUCAUUGCUGGCUACAUCACUGAAGACAUGUAUAUUAUGUUCUCUUGCCUUCUGCUCAGAAAAAUCUAAGUAUUGCAUUUCUGUCAAUUCAUUGAUUGAAGAGCUUCCCCUCAGAAUGUUGACAGCUGUUUCAGACAUUUAUAAAAUAACUUGGAUAACAGCUGCAAAUGGAUUGGCUAAAGAAGAUUUUGAACCAUGUAAUUAGCAUUCAUCAGAUGCACACAUUUCCAUUGAAAAACCUCUUCAACCCAAAAGUUGACUAUCAGGAAACUGAUAAUUCUUGCUAAGUCCCCAAACAGGACUUGCUAAUACUUAACUCUCCAUUAGCUGAUUUUAGACGGAGCAUAUUAAUGUAGUUACUAUUAAAUAACUUAAUGCUAAAUGCUAUCUGUAACUAACACUGCUUUAAUUUUUGUCCUUUAUCCAUCUAGACACCCAUCCAAGUAAGACUAAUAUGAGGUGAAAAAAUUAAACACAUAUAUCACACACAAAUAUAAAAAAGAUGAUAGCUUAUUGUGGUGGGUGAUGAUCUCUCUCACUCUCUCUUUUUUUUAAACAGUUUCCCAGGCUGGAGUACAGUGGCAUGAUCUCAGCUCACUGCAGCCCUUACCUCCCGGGUUCAAGUGAUUCUCCUGCCUCAGCCUCCUGAGUAGCGUGUGCCACCACCCCCAACUAAUUUUUGUAUUUUUAUUUGAGAUAGGGUUUCAUCAUGUUGGCCAGGAUUGUCUUGAUUUGCUGACCUCAUGAUCCACCUGCCUCAGCCUCUCAAAGUGCUGGGAUUAAAGGCAUGAGCCGCUGCACCUGUUCGAUGAUCUCUUAAUGAUAUAAUGCACUGAUAACUCCUGUGUACUUGAGCAUAUGUAAUUCCCCAGAUAUAACAUGGAAAUAAACUUAGUCGCCUAAUUAAUUAUCUUUAUGCACAUAAAAAUAGUAGGACACAAAAAUGUGUAUUUUAAUCACCACUGUAUUAAGAAGUACAUUAAAAUUCUGGAGGUAGACACUCAAAUAUUAGUAAUUGUUGCUUAGUGUGACAUGAAUAUAAAAGAUUUUUUCUUCUUCCUAUAUAUUGUAAAUAUAGUAUUUGAAUAUGUAAUUCUUAUAUAAUUGAAAAAGUAAACUUUAUAUUAGAGUG
Molecule: non-coding RNA, 3545 nt
Organism: Callithrix jacchus (white-tufted-ear marmoset)
Lineage: Eukaryota; Metazoa; Chordata; Mammalia; Primates; Cebidae
Source: RefSeq, a predicted model, not a curated record